Molecule: ribosomal RNA, 551 nt
Filed under: Pantoea sp. HPC148
Lineage: Bacteria; Pseudomonadati; Pseudomonadota; Gammaproteobacteria; Enterobacterales; Erwiniaceae
Description: bacterial SSU rRNA
Rfam family: Bacterial small subunit ribosomal RNA
Source: RNAcentral
CACAGCGGUGGAGCAUGUGUUUAAUUCGAUGCAACGCGAGAACCUUACCUACUCUUGACAUCCAGAGACUUUCCAGAGAUGGAUUGGUGCCUUCGGGAACUCUGAGACAGGUGCUGCAUGGCUGUCGUCAGCUCGUGUUGUGAAAUGUUGGGUUAAGUCCCGCAACGAGCGCAACCCUUAUCCUUUGUUGCCAGCGGUUAGGCCGGGAACUCAAAGGAGACUGCCAGUGAUAAACUGGAGGAAGGUGGGGAUGACGUCAAGUCAUCAUGGCCCUUACGAGUAGGGCUACACACGUGCUACAAUGGCGCAUACAAAGAGAAGCGACCUCGCGAGAGCAAGCGGACCUCAUAAAGUGCGUCGUAGUCCGGAUUGGAGUCUGCAACUCGACUCCAUGAAGUCGGAAUCGCUAGUAAUCGUGGAUCAGAAUGCCACGGUGAAUACGUUCCCGGGCCUUGUACACACCGCCCGUCACACCAUGGGAGUGGGUUGCAAAAGAAGUAGGUAGUCUUAACCUUCCGGGAGGGCGCUUACCACUAUGUGAUUCAUGAGCU